GAUGAACGCUGGCGGCGUGCCUAAUACAUGCAAGUCUAGCGAACGGACGAGAAGCUUGCUUCUCUGAUGUUAGCGGCGGACGGGUGAGUAUCACGUGGAUAACCUACCUAUAAGACUGGGAUAACUUCGGGAAACCGGAGCUAAUACCGGAUAAUAUUUUGAACCGCAUGGUUCAAAAGUGAAAGACGGUCUUGCUGUCACUUAUAGAUGGAUCCGCGCUGCAUUAGCUAGUUGGUAAGGUAACGGCUUACCAAGGCAACGAUGCAUAGCCGACCUGAGAGGGUGAUCGGCCACACUGGAACUGAGACACGGUCCAGACUCCUACGGGAGGCAGCAGUAGGGAAUCUUCCGCAAUGGGCGAAAGCCUGACGGAGCAACGCCGCGUGAGUGAUGAAGGUCUUCGGAUCGUAAAACUCUGUUAUUAGGGAAGAACAUAUGUGUAAGUAACUGUGCACAUCUUGACGGUACCUAAUCAGAAAGCCACGGCUAACUACGUG
This 497-nucleotide ribosomal RNA is filed under the name uncultured bacterium. Its description in RNAcentral is "partial 16S ribosomal RNA". It matches the Rfam family "Bacterial small subunit ribosomal RNA", at positions 28 to 507 of the family's 1533-position model. The record is from RNAcentral.